Molecule: long non-coding RNA, 1632 nt
Organism: Rhododendron vialii
Lineage: Eukaryota; Viridiplantae; Streptophyta; Magnoliopsida; Ericales; Ericaceae
Exons: 2
Source: RefSeq, a predicted model, not a curated record
AACAAACAAUGCUUAACCAAAAACUCUUGGAAAGGCAAAUCAAAUUGGUGGAUAUUAAACAAGGUCAACAAAUAGUCCAUUUUCCCUCAUUUGCUGGAAUUGUACCAAUUAAAUAGUAGUAGUUUCAAAGAAACCAGACAUACGUGUAGCACAGAGACGGACAGGUGACAAGGCAAUCCUCUAAAAUGGGAGUAUGAACAGGACGGGGAACACAUCAAAUUUUUCAAAAACAUCUGUUUAGUUAUCAAUACCUACACACUAAAUAUUUUGGUUAGGGCUCCGGUAUCAACUGAUUGUGUGUAUUCCAAUAUACAUACACAUGUUUCGUUUUAACUUUGGUCCAAUACUUUCUUAAACUGCAUCAUUGGCGUGCCUGACAUGGAUACGGCGACCUCCUAGGUGUCUCGAUGCUUCAUAACAGACCAUUAAACCAUCACUAAACCUCAAAAUGGCACUUUCAACAUCCAACAAUAUGUACAGGAACAUGCUUACUGUUCCAAACUUACCUAAACACCCAAUAUAUCACUACAUACACACACGCACAAAUUAAUAAUGACUUGACAAGUCCUAACCCUUCAAGGACUCAAGGCAGGAAACGAGAUAAUUCAAUAUUAACUCAUUUAGAAUUUAAGUUAACAUGCUUUCAAACCAAUAAUCUAUCUAUACUACUUUUAAAAGUACGAAGCCCUGUCGUGUUUUCUACUUUUUGUUUUCCUUAAGUGCCCCAACGGCCCAACCAAUUCCUUUGAAUGCCUGCCUCCUACGCCCUUCUUAACCGACACAAGACCAACCACCCCUUUGGACUUGAGCGAAACACUCGUUGAAAGAAGCCCAACCAAUGAACGUUAUCCAAAGAAAAUACACAAACACGAGGAAAUAGGAAUUCAAAAGGCAAGAAGAAGUUAUACACUCCAACUCUUACUCAAAUUCAGAAUACAAAUCUAAUACACAACUGGAAAAGAAACUCCUCAUAAUUGUGACUCUCCCCAAACAUUACAACUUAUGAGAAGCAACAUGUGAACACUAGAGAUUUGCAGGGAAGGGGAAAAAAAGGGAUUGAAUCCUCUCCUAUCUAUUGGUUGUCCUCAGUGGAUCCACUUUAACAAUCAGGUCCGUUCAUUUUUUAGACCUCAUGGAGAAAAUUAGCAAAACCAAAACUCAUAUUGAUCAAAUAUGGUUUGAUAUGUUUUCAAAGAACAUCUAUAUUGAAAAACAUAGUUUCUGAUCUAUAUUGAGGAUCAACAAAGGUACAGACUGGACCCUCAAAGGACUCAAGUGGAGAGAAUCCAAGUCCAAAAAAAAAACAGAGAGAGAUACAAAAUGGUAAGAAACUGCACAAGUGAAGGGGUGCCGUUAAAUUGUAACAACUCCUGAAAUUGAGUGGAUAGGCACCUUGUCUGCACCAUAUAACUCAGCACCAGUGGCAUCCCAAAGCAAUAACACACCAUAACACCACUAAAAUCUUGAUCUUCAUCAAUUCCGUUUGUGACGACAAUUACUAGAAUUUUUCACACCCGGAAAGAGCCAAAAUCAUCAUGCAGUGUUCCUAGAUUUUAACUCCCUCUCUCUCAAUAUAUAUUUAUAUAUACUUGGUUAUACGUGUAACUUUUUCCACAAUUAUAACUCUAAUGC